This 500-nucleotide ribosomal RNA is filed under the name uncultured bacterium. RNAcentral describes it as "bacterial SSU rRNA". It matches the Rfam family "Bacterial small subunit ribosomal RNA", at positions 34 to 507 of the family's 1533-position model. The record is from RNAcentral.
CGCUGGCGGCGUGCUUAACACAUGCAAGUCAAGGGGAAAGUUUCGACUUGUCGGGAUGAGUAUACUGGCGGACGGGUGAGUAACGCGUAGGUAACCUGCCCUUAUGUUUGGGAUAACCUUGCGAAAGCGGGGCUAAUACCGGAUGUGGUCCUAGUGAUUAUAUUUUAUUAGGAUUAAAGUUGCUUGGGGUGACCUGGGUAACGCAUAGGGAUGGGCCUGCGUUCCAUUAGCUAGUUGGUGAGGUAAGGGCUCACCAAGGCGACGAUGGAUAGCUGGUCUGAGAGGACGAUCAGCCACACUGGGACUGAGAUACGGCCCAGACUCCUACGGGAGGCAGCAGUGGGGAAUAUUGCGCAAUGCCCGCAAGGGUGACGCAGCGACGCCGCGUGGGUGAAGAAGCUCUACGGAGUGUAAAGCCCUGUCAGAGGGGAAGAACGGCUUGGAUUCGUAAGGAUUCAGGUGUGACGGUACCCUCAGAGGAAGCUCCGGCUAACUCCGUG